GAUGAACGCUAGCGGCAGGCCUAAUACAUGCAAGUCGAACGGGAUCCAGAUCAAAGCUUGCUUUGGUCUGGUGAGAGUGGCGCACGGGUGCGUAACGCGUGAGCAACCUACCCUUGUCAGGGGGAUAGCCCGGCGAAAGUCGGAUUAAUACCGCAUGACAUCAUUGAGAGGCAUCUUUCGAUGAUCAAAGAUUUAUCGGACAAGGAUGGGCUCGCGUGACAUUAGCUCGUUGGUAAGGUAACGGCUUACCAAGGCUGCGAUGUCUAGGGGCUCUGAGAGGAGAAUCCCCCACACUGGUACUGAGACACGGACCAGACUCCUACGGGAGGCAGCAGUAAGGAAUAUUGGUCAAUGGACGGAAGUCUGAACCAGCCAUGCCGCGUGCAGGAGGACGGCCCUAUGGGUAGUAAACUGCUUUUAUACGGGAACAAACGUCGGUACGUGUACCGGUCUGAGUGUACCGUAAGAAUAAGGAUCGGCUAACUCCGUG
This 490-nucleotide ribosomal RNA is filed under the name uncultured bacterium. RNAcentral's name for it is "partial 16S ribosomal RNA". It matches the Rfam family "Bacterial small subunit ribosomal RNA", at positions 28 to 507 of the family's 1533-position model. The record is from RNAcentral.